Molecule: ribosomal RNA, 468 nt
Filed under: uncultured bacterium
Lineage: Bacteria
Description: partial 16S ribosomal RNA
Rfam family: Bacterial small subunit ribosomal RNA
Source: RNAcentral
GGGGGGGGGGGGGGGGGGGCGGGGGGGGGGGGGGGCGGGGGGGGAGGCCCGGCGGGUGGGGGGGGCUGGGGUGGCGAGCGGGGGAGUAACACGUGAGUGGCCUGCGCUUGACUUUGGUCUCACUUCGGGGCACUUGGGCUGCCACCCGGUCGGAUCCCCUUCUGCAUGGGUGGGGUUGUAAAGUUUAGGAGGGUGGGUAUGGACUAGCGGAUUAUCAGUUGGUUGGUGGGGUCGUUGCUUACCACGGCUUUUACGGGUAGCCGGCCUCAUCGGGUUACCGGCCACAUUGGGACUGAGAGACGGUCCAGACUCCUACGGGAGGCAGCAGUGGGGAAUAUUGAACAAUGGGCGGAAGCCUGAUGCAGCAACGCCGCGUGCGGGAUGACGGCCUUCGGGGUGUAAACAGCUUUCGCCUGUGACGAAGCGUGAGUGACGGUAAUGGGUAAAGAAGCACCGGCUAACUACGUG